UACGUAGGGUGCAAGCGUUAUCCGGAAUUACUGGGCGUAAAGGGUGCGCAGGCGGUCCUGCAAGUCAGGCGUGAAAUCCCCGGGCUUAACCUGGGAAUGGCACUUGAAACUACGGGACUGGAGUAUGGCAGAGGGAGGUGGAAUUCCACGUGUAGCGGUGAAAUGCGUAGAGAUGUGGAGGAACACCGAUGGCGAAGGCAGCCUCCUGGGCCAAUACUGACGCUCAUGCACGAAAGCGUGGGGAGCAAACAGG
RNAcentral lists this ribosomal RNA (253 nucleotides) under uncultured bacterium. RNAcentral's name for it is "partial 16S ribosomal RNA". It matches the Rfam family "Bacterial small subunit ribosomal RNA", at positions 524 to 776 of the family's 1533-position model. The record is from RNAcentral.